CCCUUAGAUGCUCUGGGCCGCACGCGCGCUACACUGGUCGAUGCAACGAGUUUCUUUCCUUGGCCGACAGGCCUGGGCAAUCUUUGAACAUCGAUCGUGAUCGGGAUAGAUUCUUGUAAUUUUUGAUCUUAAACGAGGAAUUCCUAGUAAACGCAAGUCAUCAGCUUGCAUUGAUUACGACCCUGCCCUUUGUACACACCGCCCGUCGCACCUACCGAUUGAAUGGUCCGGUGAAAUCUCCGGACUGGCGUGAGUCGGAGCAAUCUGACAAACACCGGAAAGUUGAUUAAACCUUACCAUUUAGAGGAAGGUGAAGUCGUAACA
This 324-nucleotide ribosomal RNA is filed under the name uncultured eukaryote. Its description in RNAcentral is "partial 18S ribosomal RNA". It matches the Rfam family "Eukaryotic small subunit ribosomal RNA", at positions 1470 to 1796 of the family's 1831-position model. The record is from RNAcentral.